AGAACAUUCAAGAUACAGGUAGAGAGGCUAUACCAUGGGUGUAUGGAAGAGUUAUUUGGAAGUAAACAGCAUUUGGAAGGGUUCUUCAAUAUUACAUUAGGAAGGUUUAAGAAUACUGAAGGUGGCAGAGUCAUUUUGAGGCACAGGUAAAAUUAGAGAUUUGUCUAAUAUAGAUACUUCCGUGAGCAGCCCAAGCCCCUCUUCACUGACAAGUUCUACCUCACCUUAACCGAGGGCAUUGCUCUUUCAGACAGACCACCUUGCAAAGGACAGCUGCAUACUCAACCUGCCGCUGUUUCUCCUGGAGGCCAACCUGGUGACCUUCCUCUUCCCUCUGGACCGCCUGAGAAGGGCGGCAGAAAAGGAGAUGGUGACAAGAUGCCUCUGCACAACCUCGCCAUGGUUUUGGCCCCAUGAUGCUCUGGCUUUCUAGUCUUCAUUGCUUUGUCUCCAACUCAAGCAUAGUUUUUGUUUGUUUGUUUGUUUGUUUUACUCAUUCUUGAGAGGAAGCCAUUAGCUUUCUUUGGAUGCUUUGUCAUUUAUCUUAUGUGACUACACCAGUUAAUCAAAGGAUCACUUGCUGCUCUUCUUCCACUAAAACAACACCCACUUCAUGCUCAUUGUCUAAAGUGGGGGCAUCAUUUGUAACUACAGAUACUAAUUGUGGGGAUCCCAGGUUUAUUAUGUGGGAGAGACUGAGACUCCCCUCAUCUGUCCCCUGAGGAGGGUUCAUAGGUGAGUGAGAAAGGGACAAGGCAGCGAUGUGGACAUCUCCCCACAUUGCCCAAGGGGCAUUGCUUCCUAGUGAGGAAACUCUCGCUGCAGUUUUCUGGCAGGGAAAUAAUACAAUCUCCAGAUCAUUUAUCAAUUUUGUUUUUUUUAAAUAAAUAUUUUGCCAUUAUUAGAUGAGUAUAUAAAAAAUAAAUAAUAUGGAUUUAUCUUGCAGUGUACCAUUUAACUCCAUCCCAAAAUAGAUCUAUUAUCUUCUCUUUUGUUCAAUGAAUACUAUUCAUACCUAGGCAAAACUGUUGCUGUUACUCAUGAUUUAAGGGCAUUAGGAAUACAACUCUAGGGAAAAAAUACUGCUAUUGGAAACCAAAAAGAGUGUCUGGGACAGGUGUCAAUCUAUUUAGAGGUUUUUUUCACCAAGGUUGAGGAUGCACCCGGGAAAAAGAGACACAAGCCACAGUGGAAUCUGUGGCCUGCACUUUUUCCAAAGAGUUUUGAGGGUUUCAAUAUUUAUAGGGGAAAAAGCAGGCCAAAGGGAAAGGAAAGAAGACAAAAAGGGGAGAGUAGAAAAAAUGAGACAAGUGGUCUCAUUGUCUUGAGGCUUUCAUUAGUUCUCACUGAAGCCACAGGUUGCCCAUGAAAAGGAGGGGGUAGAGGAACAGCUGAUUAUGUGCUCGCCUGGCACUGGUAAGGCUGCACCUCACAUGAGAUAAAGCAAACAUAGAGUAGAGGAAGCAUCAACAUGCAUUUGUCUUGGGGUGGUGGUAGGAAUAUUUCUAGUUUCCUUUUGUCCUGUAUCCCUGAAGAUAAGUUGCUAAUUUACAUGGUCAGGGUGAGGGAGGUAACCUGGAAAGAUAUGUUUAGGAACAAAAGGAAAGAUGGUUUCUGGGUGUGACUCAGUUUCCAAGUUUAACUUUCCCUUUUGGCAUAGCGAGUUUGGGGUCCCAACAUUUUAUUUUCCUUUUACACUAUUGACUACUAACAGUCUUUGUUGUUAAAUUCCAUCUGUUUUAAAAUUUUAAUAAAAUAUUUAUAUCAUAAAAUAUAAAUUAUUCACUUAUAAGAUUAAUAUAAAUAAUAUUAACAAAACAUUGUCUUGAAAAAUGUAGUUUGACAAAGUUUCAAUCUGAGUAAAAGAUAGUAUCUUAAAUACAGUAUUUUUUCACUGCUGGUGAGAGAGAAUCUAAACUUUCUGUGAAGACUAAGAAAGUCUCACAUUCUUGGUGCACGCCAGGAAGCCCCGUGUUCCUUGGAUGUGGAGGAGUUGAACAUGAAGGAGCUGGCUGUGAUGUCAGCAUGUGAAGGUGGAGGAACUCCAGCCCAGGAGGGGCUCCUGGAUCCACCCGCCCCAGAUGGACUCGAGGUGGGGAAGGCAGCCUGGAGGCUUGGGAGGCCUGAGUAGAGAGGAGGGAACAGCGCUCCCUUAAGACCCAGGCCCACUCCCAGGGAAGGGAGCAGCAGGGCCACACUCUUGGCCACCUUGGAAGAGCUCCUUGCUGUGGGCUGAUUCCCACGACCUUGUCUAGGGAUUCCAGCAUUUUAGGUAGCUCCUCCAUUGCCUUCGUUGGUUAGAGCAUUUGGAACUUUUCUUUUUCACUUCUCGAACCAAAGAAGUUAAUUCCUUCAUCGAUACCAAGUUGGCACUCUUCACCUUUUUGUAAGCAUCUGCAAGGCUGGGAAUAUUUAAAGACUCCUUCUUUAGCCAGGCAUUCUCUAGUGCUGCCUCCAUCUCUGCAUACUCCUUUUUCAAAACACCAAGCUUCUAAAUGAAUUGAUUUUUUUCUCACAUUCUGCAGCCUGUGUUUUGUGAGUCACUUUUCAUGUCUUACAUAAAGUCAGCUUCUAACAGAUUCAACAAGUCUGAACAAAAAUAAAAGACCUACCAAGAAGCUGAUGAGACCAGUGUCUCCCCUGAUGGCUUUGGAAAGUGAGUUGUGGACUGAAGCCAUUGGGCAGCAUCUUAUAUAUCACCUCACACAUUUCGUAAAUAUCAGCCCCAAACGAAGUUUCACAGAAGAUCCCGGCCCCUCCAUCCCUGCAACCAUGGAUUCUGCACCACAACAAACCCUGGGGAACACCUCAGCAUUCCACCUGGAAUCAACCAGGAACAGGCAGCCUAUACUAGUCAGUUUCAUGGUCACCAUCAAGGAGGAUUAGUAAAUAAACAUGCUUGUCUCCUUACUGUCUAGUAAUCAGUCUUCUUUACCUGUUUCUUAUUGUAUGUGUAUCAACAGACAAUUAAAAUAUAGUGAAAGGUGCCAAUCUUAAGUGUAUAGCUUGAAUAAGCCUUUAAAAUGUUAUACCCCCACUGCGUCCUGCAACCCUAUCAAGGUAUGAGUCCUGUGUAUCAACACAGAAAUCCCCCCCAGUUCCUUUCCAAUCAGUGUCCACUCGCCCUGACUCACGCAGCCUUGGAGAAGGUUGCUCUGAACACAUCCCAGUUGAGCCUCAGCAUCAAGGUCAUGGAAUCAAUUACAAUGUGCUUUCUGAUCUCUGCCUGCUUUGCUCAAAGUGUUUUUGAAACUUAUCUGUUCU
This 3264-nucleotide long non-coding RNA is filed under the name Homo sapiens (human). RNAcentral's name for it is "HSALNT0257862". Lineage: Eukaryota; Metazoa; Chordata; Mammalia; Primates; Hominidae. The record is from RNAcentral.